CCUGUAUCUGUUAAAGAAAUGGAACUUGUAGUUUAAAAAAACAUGCUAAAAAGAAAAGCUGAGAUCCCUUCACUGGUGAGUUGUUCCAAACAUUAAAGGAAAAAACAAACUUUUCCAAAAAAGCAGAGGGUGGAAUAGUCCCACAGCCUUUGAGCCUUUUACCCCCAAGGCCAAAACCAUAGGCAUCACCACCAGAGAAGCAAACUCCCUUUGCACUGAUGCAGAAAGCUUAAGCCAAAUUUUGGCAAGUUGAAUCCAACAAUAUGUGAAAAGGUCAAUACAUUACCAACAAUAAGCUCUCCCCAGAAUAUGGGGUUGGUUUAACAUUCAAAAAAAAAAAAAGUCUAGGGCUAGGGCUGGGGCUGUGGCUCAGCAGGUGUGCACUUGCCUGGCAUGUGUGAGGCACUGGGUUCGAUUCUCAGCACCCCAUAUACAUACAUACAUACAUACAUAAAUGCCUAUCAACUACUUAAAAAAUAUUUUUUAAAAAAAUUAUCAAUGUGACUCCAUAUAUAAGUGGUCUAUAAAAGAAAAAACUAUGUUCAUUUUUAACACAUGCAACAAAAAUUCAAUCAUCACGUCUGAUUUUAAAAAUGAAACUAGGAAAAAAAAAGAGGAUUUCUUCAACCCAACAAAGGCAACUAUAAAAAAUCCAUUGCUAACAGCAUAGCGAGGGAAGACCAAGCCCUCCGCUUCGGGGAUUGGGGACAAACCAGGGUCGGGCAAUGUCCUCUGCACUGCGUUCAACUUUGUCCUGAAGGUACUAGCCAGUGCGAUAAGGCAAAGAAAAGAAGGAAAAGAUACUCAGGAAAGGAAGAGGCUACAAUUGCUUAAAUAGGAAAUCCUAAGGAAUCUGUCCCAAAACACUAGAACAAGAAUGUUUGGCAAGUUCAACGGGUACAAGAUCAAGACGCAAAAUCCACUGUAUCUCAACAUAGC
RNAcentral lists this long non-coding RNA (939 nucleotides) under Marmota monax (woodchuck). Lineage: Eukaryota; Metazoa; Chordata; Mammalia; Rodentia; Sciuridae. The record is from RNAcentral.